ACAAACAUAAACAUACGAAGGGCUGAGUACAAGAGUACUCAGUGGGCAGUGCCAAGCAUAUAACAUAAUAUCAACAACAAAACACAACUUCGCAUAAGAGGCAUAAGUUUCUUUCAUAUCAUUUGCUCAUUAAACAUUUCCAAAUUCAUAAAUAGCAUAAGGGCAUUCUUCAUCAUCAACAAUCAUAAACAAGCAUCGUGUCGUGGAGAAGGCCUUCCCCAACGAACACGGGCAUCGCACCGUGAAGGGGGCCUCCCUCAGCGGUCACGGCAUCGUACUAUUGAGGGAGGCCUCCCCCAAUAGACGCUGUAACACUGGCAUACUGGCAUACUGGCAUCGCGCCGCUAGGGAGGCCUCCCUCAGCGGACACGGGCAUCGCGCCGUGAGGAAGGCCCUCCUCAGCGGACACGGCAUCGUACUGUUGAGGGAGGCCUCCCCCAACAGACGCAAGCAUCAAACAUAAGCAUAAACUUAUCAGCGUAAAGCAUUCAAGCGUAAAUAAGCGUAAUCAAGCGUAAAUCAUUUAGCGUAAAGCAUAAUAAAGCAUACCACACUUGAAGAUCCAAUUUGCAUUUUAAAGCAUAACACAUGCAUAGCAUUUUAUUUACGCGUAAGAAAUUGCCCACCUGAUAGCAAAGUUU
This 641-nucleotide long non-coding RNA is filed under the name Salvia miltiorrhiza (redroot sage). RNAcentral describes it as "long non-coding RNA (SMIL_LNC003777)". The record is from RNAcentral. Lineage: Eukaryota; Viridiplantae; Streptophyta; Magnoliopsida; Lamiales; Lamiaceae.